GAAUUCGCCCUUAGAGUUUGAUCCUGGCUCAGGACGAACGCUGGCGGCGCGCCUAACACAUGCAAGUCGAACGAGCGAGAGAGAGCUUGCUUUCUCAAGCGAGUGGCGAACGGGUGAGUAACGCGUGAGGAACCUGCCUCAAAGAGGGGGACAACAGUUGGAAACGACUGCUAAUACCGCAUAAGCCCACGGCUCGGCAUCGAGCAGAGGGAAAAGGAGCAAUCCGCUUUGAGAUGGCCUCGCGUCCGAUUAGCUAGUUGGUGAGGUAAUGGCCCACCAAGGCGACGAUCGGUAGCCGGACUGAGAGGUUGAACGGCCACAUUGGGACUGAGACACGGCCCAGACUCCUACGGGAGGCAGCAGUGGGGAAUAUUGCACAAUGGGGGAAACCCUGAUGCAGCGACGCCGCGUGGAGGAAGAAGGUCUUCGGAUUGUAAACUCCUGUUGUUGAGGAAGAUAAUGACGGUACUCAACAAGGAAGUGACGGCUAACUACGUGCCAGCAGCCGCGGUAAAACGUAGGUCACAAGCGUUGUCCGGAAUUACUGGGUGUAAAGGGAGCGCAGGCGGGAGAACAAGUUGGAAGUGAAAUCCAUGGGCUCAACCCAUGAACUGCUUUCAAAACUGUUUUUCUUGAGUAGUGCAGAGGUAGGCGGAAUUCCCGGUGUAGCGGUGGAAUGCGUAGAUAUCGGGAGGAACACCAGUGGCGAAGGCGGCCUACUGGGCACCAACUGACGCUGAGGCUCGAAAGUGUGGGUAGCAAACAGGAUUAGAUACCCUGGUAGUCCACACCGUAAACGAUGAUUA
RNAcentral lists this ribosomal RNA (806 nucleotides) under uncultured bacterium. Its description in RNAcentral is "bacterial SSU rRNA". It matches the Rfam family "Bacterial small subunit ribosomal RNA", at positions 1 to 815 of the family's 1533-position model. The record is from RNAcentral.